UGGUUUUCCUCCUUUCUUAUGUUUUUCGCGUUCCUCCAAUCUUGCCCGUUUUGCUUCUUCUCUUUUUUCUUUGGCUUCUCGGCGUUCUUCAGCCUUUCUUUUUCUUAGUUGCUCCUCUUUCUCUUUUUGUUCUUUUUUCUGUCGGAUUGCCUCCGUACGCUCUCCAGCCGUUAGUACGGGGUGAAAAUUUGUUUUGUAAUUUCGAUGUUUAAUACUACGACGCGGCGUUGGCGGUAGAGUUAAUACCUCGGGCAGGCUAAGUGUAGUAUUAUGUCCGUCCAAGAUGUCUAUCUCCACUGUAAUUACAAAAUUAAUAUCAGUUGGGAAAAUGUUCUAUAGUUCGUUUGGCAAUUUUUUUUUGCAAACGUCAGUUUUUUACUUACCAUGCUCGAAAUCCUUAGGCUGUUCUAACAUAAUAUUGCCAGUUCGUGGUUGAUCGAAUAGAUAUUCAUUUAAAGGCAAUAUAUUUGGCAACAUUUCACUGUCUUCAAUGUGAACAAUUUCACAUUUGCUUACAUCGAUGUCCGUAGAAUUGGUCUCAAAGAUAUUCAUUGGAGAUCUUUGUUGAUCGAAUACAACAUGAGGACGAACAAAUUCUCUGUAAAAAAAAUCGAAUGACACGUUCUUCACGAGACAAGAGGUUCACAAGACAAGAGGUCUCCUUCGAUUUUAGAUCUCAUAUCAACACCAAUCAGGUCGUAUGCCUCAAUUAUACGUUCUAUGCUUAUUUUGACGUUGUCCUCACCGCUAUCUUCCUGUCUAGCUGUGCUAUUUGGCUCCAUAAUUGAUGUAUGAAGAGCUUCGCAAGAGUCAUCAACUUCAGAAUGUUCAACUUUAAAAGCAGCUGCUGUCUUGGCAAUGCACUUGGAAUAGUCUACCGCAUUAGCAUCAAAUGGAUGCAAUCCGCAUGCCCGAAAACCAUUGAUAAUCGAUGGCUUUUGAAUUCCUUUUUCAAUAGCCUCACAUAAAACUGGCCCAAAGUGCAAGAUGUUAAGAGCACAACCUUGAUUUUUCAAUCUCCAACCUUCUACUGCACGCUUCCAUUCGUUUUUUAAUGGCUUAAAUAUAGCCACGUCUGCGGGCUGUGUAAUAUGUGUGGUAUUAGGAUAUAGGCAUAUCAAAAUUAUGCUCAGUGAUUUGCAGAGCUCGGCUACUUCUAGUGCAUUGUGCGAUGCAUGGCCAUGAAAUGGCCAUAAUAUUAUAGGAAAUUUCACCCCUUGUUUGAUGACAAAAGGGUGAAAUAUUUUAUGAAUAAAUCCUUUAAAAUUAGGAGAAUCCAUCCAACCGCGUUCGCUUUGACCAAGACCCCAUUCGGAAGGAAAACUUUGCACUAACUCUUGCCGCAAACGUUUACUUGGCAGUAUCACAGUAUCACACGUUCACCUGGCAGUAACGCAAACGUUUACCUGGCAGUAUUGGCAGGAUGUACAAUAAAAUGGCUCCGAAUGCAAACAUAACUGUUACAUUAUGUUCGGCAGCAGCUUGCUCUGCUUCGUAAACAUUGCGGGAACCAGUACGAGCAAUAACCUCUUUUGAUUUUGGAUGAAGGAAAAAUGAGGUUUCGUCUGCGUUAAAAAUUCUAGCUGGAUCAUUCAAUAUUUCUCGCAUUCCAUUCUCAGUUAGCCAACCAUCUAUCAAAUUAAACGAUCCGCGGAUAUCUUUCUCACUAACUCGGCUACUAGCACUAGACAAAGCUUCCGGCAUACGGAAGGAAAAACUGUUGUUGCGCCUCAUAAAGCCGCGUAACCAUUUGCGACCUGAAGUGAGGAGAUAUUGUAAAUUAUUGGUAUUUAAACACUGACUCAUACGCUGCUUACCCGGUUUGUUGUUACGAAAAGGAGUCACUCGAUCUGGAUUAGCUUCUAGAAAUUCUUUUAACUUAAAGAGCAAAACUCUUCGAGUGACUGGAAAUCCACGAUCCUGCAUUUCGUUCAACCAGUCAGCAAUGUUUUGUUUCUCAUCUGCUGAUAGUACAGACUGUGGACCCGGUUUAAACUUAUUUCUCCAAUUACCACUUAUUCUGUAACGGAUGGUGGACAUUGGGAUACCAAAUUCCUUACAGGCAGCGUACAAUGUUUUACCGGCAUUAAUAGAAUUAAUACAGUCGCUAAUCGCAUCUUCGGUGUACGUUUUCAAAUUACGUGAUGGAGCCAUUCUAAAAAAAACACAACACAUAAAUUGAACAAACGUUUUCUUUUCAAUCUAAACUCUACAUACAGUAUCGGACAUAAAGAUAGAACCCUGGUUUUUUCAACGCACCGUGCACUUGUUUUGCCUCGUUACUUGUGUUUGUGUGUAUGUAUGUAUGUGUGUGUGUGUGUGUGUGUGUGUGUGUGUGUGUGUGUGUGUGUGUGUGUGUGUGUGUGUGUGUGUGUGUGUGUGUGUGUGUGUGUGUGUGUGUGUGUGUGUGUGUGUGUGUGUGUGUGUGUGUGUGUGUGUGUGUGUGUGUGUGUGUGUGUGUGUGUGUGUGUGUGUGUGUGUGUGCAUGUGUGUGUGUGUGUGUGUGUGUGUGUGUGUGUGUGUGUGUGUUUGAAUGUGUAUUGGUGUGUGUGUGUUUGUUUCACAAGUAUGUCGUUUCGUUUAGAUUUGUUAGUAGUUUUUCUGUGUUUUGGGUAAGGUUUUUGAUGUAAUAAGCAGAACCACCGCCCUCGCGAUCAGUGUUUUUUCGAUCUAUUAACAACUUUACGGUCUUCUUUCGCCGUGGUCUUCUGAGGAAGUCCGGUUGACUUGCGCGUUUCGGUUGUCCAAGCGCGUUUCAGUUGUCCAAGCGCGUUUUGGUUGUCUAAACACAUUUCGGAUGUCCGAAGCGCGUUUGCGACAAAAGUGCGCGAUCGUUCCAUUACAAACUCGAUCGUUUUGCGCUUAAUGCCAGCAGCCGCCAUUCGCUUUAUUAUAUGGCGCUGAUCAUCGGUACAAUGUUUACCUCGACCCAUUGUUACUAACAUUGCUUGCUUGGACCGUCAAGAACGCGCUGGUUAAAAAGUUGGACACGGCUGAUCCCGUGCUCAGCCUGCGUUCUGCUUCUACACGUGUUAAAUUACAUCGUUGUAGAGCAGCAAAAAAAGCGUAUGGAUAAAAACUAUCAAUGAGUAAGCGAGUGAGUGUCUACCCAUUUAAAUCGAGAACCGAAUACUGCCGCGCUCAUGAAACAAAACGCCCAUUGAAAAGAACACCUGCGCGCCAGCUCAAUGCACGCACAAAGUUUAACAUGCGCACACAACGUUCAACGCAGAGAUGCACGCAGGCAUUUCUAUGGCGUGCACUGGAGAAACACCUGUGAGGGAAUGCCGAGUUCAUUGCUGUUGUGCGCGUGUCCAUUUCACAUCGCUGCGCAUGCACAUUCAUCAACCAGCACACCUGCGGUUUCUUCCGAGGAACAAGCGCUGCUGUCGAUGCAAACUUUAGCUUUUAUCCAAGUGCAAACGCACGCUGUUUCACAUGAUAACACACAUUAUCAGAAUACUUUCCAUGCAAUAUGAAACCAUAGCAAGCUACGUUUUUCAGACACAAACCCGCGCACUUGCAAAUACACAUUAAAAAGCACACUCUCUUUCUACUACACACACACACACACACAAACACACACACACACACACACACACACACACACACAAGUAACGUGGUAAAACAAGUGCAAGGUGCGUUGAAAACACCAGGGUUCUAUCUUUAUGUCCGAUACUGUAUCAUUCACCGGGGGGUGAUACUGUUGUGAUGAUGUUGUUUCAGGACCAGGUGGAGUAGACGUGCGUGCGGCUAAACGGUGAGUCGUUGUUGGUGUGCGUGUGGUGUAGCGGUGAUCAGACUCUCUCUUUGAAUGAAAGCCAAUUCAUGCUGUCCACACUAACCCCUCUUCUCAGCAGACAAUACGCUUUAACGUCAUCGGUGGCUAAGCGACGCUUUACAGAAACGACCACUUGUUCCACAGUGACGGCCGUUGAUAAGCGGGAUAGGCGGAUCCAGAUCCUAUCUGUGAAUGGCUCACGAGGUGCAGCUUGAAGCGGUGAUGAUAAUGGAUCGGUUCCCACCAGUUCAUGCGGUUGUGUAGGUCCCGGCUGGACGGCAAUCGUGGUGUUGGUGUAUGCGUUUGGCGAUGACGCGGCACAAAGGAUGUUGCCGCGACUGUUUACAAUUUUGUUUACACCAGGAGAUGCCGAAUCCUCGAUUAUACGCCUCCGCUUUCCACCAGUAGCUGGUCGAGGAUCAGAGUUCCGAUUGUGAGGCGUGGAUGCAGUUUGAAGGAGGGUAAAACCACUGCGAACUUCGGCGACAAUAGGCUCAACGAGCUUGCCAAUAGCUGCUACAGCUGAGUUGAGGGCGGCUUGGAAAUCGACCUGGGCGCCUAUUUCUUUUACCGAACGGCAGCGCGGAUUUUUAAGCAUGUUAGUGCAGCCAAUGCAGCUCCAGUGCAGGUCGACAUUGGACAAUACUGCGUCAAUCAGCUCGGGGGGCAAUUUGCAACAGCCGCGGUGGAACGUAGCGUCACAAUAUGCACAACUGAUGAUGCAGCCGGUGGCCUCUAGCGGUUCAGCACACGAGAAGCAAAUAGCCGUCAUCGCGAAAUCACGCGUAGUCACAGCACAACACUGCUAAGCCGAGCAGGAAAAAACAGCAGGAAACCACAGUUGCGGUGCAACUAAACAAUUCGCCAUGACGAAACGAUGAUGUGAAACAGUUUAGUAGUCCGUAGAAUAGGCAACAAUGCGAUGCGACGCAGAAAACACUAGGAAAUUACUGAAAAAUCACGGAGCGCGACAGGAGUGCGGCCGAACAAAUUAAACGUCAAACGUAAAACGUGUUAUGGUUUUACGCUCCAAGUGCGUUCUAACGGGUUUUGUGCUGAGUAAUGUUUUUCUCGCCUUUGAAUGUUACUGUGUGGCUUGCAUGUUUUUAAGUGUGUUGGGAUACGAGUGUUUUUGCUGAUUUACAUUUCCUGACUUAAGAUUGUUAUUGUGUGUUGACCAUUUCUGUUAUUUGGUUGUAAUGAAAGUUAUGUAAACUGAGUAUAGCAUAUGCAUGCUACAGACUCUAAUGUUGCAUUUGUAGUAGGUUAAACGAUAGCUACGUUCGCCAUGUAAUGAGCGUACAGCUGUACCUUAAGUACCGUCGCGGUAGGUCAGUUUUUACUGACAUGAGCCGAGGUGGAAUAACACUUUGUUCGAAGUGGACUUUUCAUCACUUGAUCGUCCAGGCGAUCAUAGAAACCUUAAGAAGGUUUCCCUUACUGGAAACGUUGGAGUUUAGAAGCCUUACCUUGGGUAGGGGGAUAUAACUAAACUCUUGAAAUAAGUUGGAAGGCGAAGUAUUAGGAAGCGUAACGUCCUAUCUUGGCAGUCCGAACGAAUCUGACCUGCCAUGAUCGGAAUUGGUUUUAUUUAUACUCAAGAUAUGUUAUGGGUGCCGUACAUUUGGUUUUGAAAUAUGUUUUUAUCCUAAUUAAAUUUUAUUGUUAUUGGUAACAAUUUAUAAAUUGAAAUGGUGUGAGGUGUUUGUCGAUAUGUGCUUAUGCUUCGGUUUUACUGUAUUGCGAAAGAAGGUUUCAACUAUUGUUACUAAAGAAUGGAUGUUUUCGUUGCUGAGCUUAUAACUUGCUAUGCGUUCUCGAUUCACCUAGUUUGCCUGCAGUAACGCCUGAUUUGCUUAUGCUGCGUUUUUAGAGGGUUUCAAGAAGUGUGUCACAAUUGUUUUUAUAUGAACGGUGUGGCAUGAAUUCUUCCGGUUGCUUUGUUAUGGUAUGAUCUGAUUUGAUGAGUGUGUUGUAGUGAAUGUGUUGCAAUAGUGUGAUUUGGCCUUCUGAGGAAGUGUGUUGCAAUAGUGUGAUUUGGACAUAGAACGACGUAGUUGUACACCCAAGAACCCUGCACAACAAAUGACACCAUACACCAAUAUGUCAAUCUGACAGAAUAUAUUUCUCUUUGCUUUUGUUAACUGAACCGAACGCACGUGUAUUUACUUUGCUCCGCAUAUCACAUUUUCCUUCGCUCUGCUUUUAACAAUAACUUCUGUUUAGCAGAUAUGCUACACAUUUUUAAAUGUAUCUUGCUGCCGAUCCUUCGAUUUAAUUAUCGUUCUAAUAGUUGAUUCUGGUCGAUUAGUGUCUCUGGCGAUGUGGGCGUAACAUUUUCCCCCUUCGUGCUUUUUGAUAAUUUUAUGUUUUUCACUGCAGCUUAAGGAACUUUUCUUGUGUUUGAAUGCUUUUUACAUAUCUUGAUUUUCACUGCUAUUUAGAAAAAAAAACUAAAAAAGAAAAGAAACUUUUUUUUGGAAGGACGACCAUCAUCAUUACAUUAAUUGUAAACUAAUAUAUAUUACCAAAAAAACAGCUGUCGUGAUAUCUGAAACUUUCAUUGCCAAUUUCAACUAUAUUCUCUUUUUUCAUUUUACUUUUGAUUUGUUCUCUCUUUCUUUUCCUUUUACUGCUUCUAUGACCGCUCUAGUCAACAUUCGUAUAAAAACUGAUCGCUGUGUUGUUCUUUCUCUCCGUCGUCUCCAAAGCUCUCCAAAGCUGCUUAUUAUUUGACAAUUGCCUAUACAUAAAUCUUUUAUAUAUUUUUUAUUAUAUCUUAUUCUAUUCCCUACAACAGCCUGAAUAAUGCAAAGGUUUUUAUAUAGAUAUUUAUCACACCGUGUGCUUUUUUUGCUGCGUAUGAUUGUUUCGCGCGUUUUUAUUUUUAUUUUGACGGAUUUAGCAUAUCUGCUAUACAGAACUUAUUAUAAACCACACUAUCAGCAAUAGACACACGGUAACACACUUUGGAACACCCGUCAUGGGUUCAAUCCCCAAAUAGACCGUGCCGCCAUACGUAGGACUGACUAUCCUGCUAUGGGGGGGGAACCAAUUAGUCAUUGAAAGCCUAGCCCACAAGUGGGUACAGGCAGGCCUUGACCGACAACGGUUGUUGAGCCAUAGAAGAAGAAGAAGAAGAACACACUUUGGAAAGCCAAAUUACACUAUUGCAACACGUUUAUAACUCACGAAAUCCCGCAUUAGAACCCUCCAUAAUUCCGUGCUGCCUUAAUUUUUAAUUUUUAAAUUUUAAAUUCUAAUUUUCUAAAAAAAAAUUUUCUCAAAUUUUAGAUAAUUUGUUGUUCAUUUUUGUUAGGUUAGGAAAUUAGGUAAUAAGUAUUAUUUAAGUAUUUGUGUAACCAAAAGGUAGACAAAUAAAUUUGAAUAUGAAUAUGAAUAUGAAUAUGAAUAUGAAACACGAAGAGUUCAGGCCACACAGAUUGAUGUGUUUUUGGUAUAAUAAUCGGGGUUUUACAACAUUUCGAUUUACUUGGCGGAAUUACUUGGUUUCUUUGAUAUGUAACUUCAGGAGUCAUUUCAUCUACUUUCGGACUAUUAGUGCGCUUACGUUUGUUUUUGACUGUAACCCACUUAUUUUCGCAUACAGCUUGUUGCAUACUAGAACUUGAUUGCGAUAAUAUGAAUUGGGGAUUGUACGUUUGAAAUUUUUUAAGUGGUUUAAAUGUUUGUGAGCAAUACGGCGAAGGUCGUUUAGAUCAUUCUACAUUCUAAUAUAGUUUAUUGCUUCGACGAGGGUAGCAGCGUGAAUAUUGGGAACAUCGAUUUAAUUAAAUAUAAGGUGGCGCUAAACAACAGUUUGAGUCUUUAAUGAAGGAGGUUGUGUCUAAUUUCGAAAAAUUUAAAAAUGAUCUCUUGGAAACGAUGAAUGCGAAGUUCUUGGCAUCUAAGUGCGACUGCUCGAGCAAAACAAGUAGAACAAGAAGGGAAAAGAUCGUAGCAUCCAUCCGAAAGUUCGAAGAGGACACAAAUACAUAUACUUACUUACUUUACUAAUGCGGCGCUAAAACCGCAUUGCGGUCUUGGCCUGCCUCAGGAGUGUCCGAAAAAAACUCACGGUCUCACGGUCGCCUUCCUGCCAGUCCGUUAUCCCGGCCUUAAUGACAGAUGCAUCCACACCAUCCUGCCACCUCAGUUUGGGCCUACCACGGCCUCCUCUGUCCUUGUGGACGGCCUAAAGAGACUUUACAGGCUGAGUCGUCCGUUACCAUGCGUACAACAUGGCCAGCCCAUCGGUGCCAGGCGAGCUUGAUACGCUGUACAACAGUGAGGUCGCCGUACAUCUCGUUUAGCUCGCCAUUAUAGCGACUCCUCCAUUGUCCUUCCACACAUACGAGGCCAAGUAUCCUCAGACUAUCCAUGUCUCAGAGGCGUAUGUGAGUACCGGAACUAUGUAGGUACUAUAUAGUCCCAGCUUCGUCCGUCGCGACAGGUUCUUUGAGGUGAACUGAUUUUUCAGGCUGUAGAAUGACCGGUUGGCAGCUACCAUCCUUGCACGCAACUCAGCUUCCAUGCUAUUGUCGUUGCUGACCUUUGACCCCAGAUAGGUGAAUUGUGAGACGACUUCAAAAGUGUGUUUUGUACGAUCUGUACGUCACGCCUACGUAGAUUCUGAUUAUUUAUUGGUAGGCCCGCUGAUGUUGCCACCAUCAGUUUGGGCUAUGUCUCGUUCAUCUGCAAUCCGAAGUUAUCUGCUGCCUGCUCGAUCCCUUGAUAGGCUUCUGCUUCAUAGGAGAGCCGAUGAUGAUAAGAGCCUCAGACCAAUGAUGUCUAUAUCAUCAGCGUAUGCCAGGAUCUGGGUUGACUUAUAGAAGAUGGUUUCCGUAGUCUACACCCUCGAGUCUUGGAUGGCCCUCUCUUGAUAACAAUAUUUUCCUGAUUUUUUAAUUCCUUAUUUGCUAAUUCAACCCUUAAUUAUUAAUUUGUUCGGAUCCAAAGCGUUUUCUGCUACCUCGCGUGUAAAAUGUAUGUAUUAUUUAACAACAACCAUUAAUUCUUUUUUCAAUUCCAACUCUUGCUGUUUUAUAACUGUAAUUGUUUCUGUUGUCUUAUUGUAUCUUUUGAAUUCUAGCAACUGUAGUUCAGCAACGCUUCUCUUUGGAAAACGAUGAAAUUGUGUGCCAUGCACAUUUGCUUCACCUUCACCUUCAUAUUGCUGUUGUUGAAAAUGUUGUUGCUGUUGUGAUUUUUGUUGCUCUUGAAGCUGAUGUUGAGUACGCUGCUGCUGUUUCGAAGUUUGUUGCUGCUGUUCAGAAGUGGGUUGCUGCUGUUGUGGGUCUUGUUGUCUUUGUUUUUGUUGUUGUGGCUGUUUUUAAACUUGUGACCACGGCCCGGGUUGAGGCUCGUAUUGUUGUGAAUCCGCAAAUUCUACACCUAAUAAAAGCAGAUCGGAUGUACCUUCUAUCGACUGUCUUAAAUCCAACAUUUCGAUUACUUGUUUUUCCAUCGUAGAGUAAUUGCUCAAAUUGCAUGGACCUUCACCUGUAGCAUUAUACUCCCUGUUAUUGUGGGCGAGUUUUGUUUAACCCUGAUUUAUAAUUUGCCUAAACCUGACAAAACAGGGUUUUCAAAGCCAAUUCGUUAUUGUUAACUAGUUAUCGGUUGUCGUAAAGUUCCACAUUGGCGUCGUUAACCUUUAAUUGGAUACUGUCAAUUCUAUUCUGAUUAUGUUCUUUUGUGAUCAUGCCGUGAAGAAUGAAACUGUUAUUGUGCAGUUUGAGUUCGACGUGCUCGGGCAUGUCUGAAAGCUGCCAAAACACUAGCUCCGAUGUGUUCGAUCCAUAAAGCUUCUAUGAAACAAAUACACGCAGGUUCAAGAUAACCUGUCAGGUUUACGCGUUUUUCAGUUGCUCACUUUAUUUAUGGAUAACUGGAAAGUAUUCAUUUAAUACUGUGUAACAUCUUUUAUGUGCAAUAAUCCCACAGUUUCACAGAGCUAAAUAAUAGUUUAUUGAAUAUGUAAAACUAUUCUGCUAAAAGAAAAACGCUUUACUUUAGUAACCCGCAAUACAGUACAUUUUAUAUUAAAAGGUCGAGACAUUUGUUUUUGUUUUGAACUAAAAUUGAUCAUUUUUCUCUUUUUGUUAUUCUAAUUAAUGAUUUCAAUAAGAAAUGUUUGGCAACGCACACUACACUUAUCGAAUAAUUAUUUCUCGAUAGAAGCAGCUAGCAUUGAAUCAUCGGCCUAUAACAAGUACAUAGAGUGUUAAGUUGUUUCCGUAUGAUUGACAUUAUUCUUUACGGUGCACUAACGGGGUUUCGAUUUGUCCGGUAGUGCACUUUAAUUGGUUAUAAGAAUAGCUCAAUAAAUAAUUGCGGAAGGCUAAACGUGUCGUGCACCCAAAGUUUUUUUUUGCACAAAGAAGACUUCAGGUAAACAUUCAAGUGAGUUUAUUGAAUGCUCAGUGAAACAGCUUAGCACCAAACACAUAGCAAUUCAUGGAUCAUCACAAUCCAGUCAAAAUAACUCACAAAUACUAAUAAUAUCCAUAUGGAAAAAAGAAGCAAUUCAUUGAUUGCAUUUACCGCUAGCGCUGGAUUGUCUCUUUAAAUUUUGGCAAUUAGCUUCUCACUUCAUCGCAAAUCUCUAUCCUUUUCUGGCUACAAUGCGCUGGUGUUGUACCGUUAUCUAUGACAGAAUAUGGCUUGCGCUGUUAUCAGUCACAUAGACAGAAUGUGUAAGUGUAUCCAUACAGAACAGCAAAAGAAAAGAGAACGACGUUCUAUACCGGAUCGAAAAGAACGCUGAGAGGAACAGGUUCAGAUUUUACUUGCUUCCUUUGUACGUACCAAAUCGGCCCAUCGUAUGAUAGAGCACGAGGUUCGAGCGUUCCAGACCGGAUCAAAAAGAACGCUGAGAGUAAAAGGUUCAAAAUGAUCCUGGAUGCUUUGUUUGCACGAAAUCGGCUCAUCAAAUCAAAGAGCAACUCUCUCCGUCAAGCGUUCUUGGCCGGAUCGCAAAGAGCACUGAGAGCAACCAGUCCAGCUCAGACUACCGAGAACGCUGAGACUAGCCGCUUCACAUCGGAUCGAUAAGAACGUUGAUAGCAGUAGGUUCAGGUCGGAUCGCAAAGAACGGUGGGAGAAACAGGUUCAGUUUGAACCUGGUUGAAGAAAAUAUUUUUCGAAUGUGUUUAAAUCAAAUUUACUUUCGUCGUUUUUUUUUGGAAUGAUAAUUCGUUUUAGACAAAUUCAUUAAUUUAAUAAAACAAAAAUUAAGAAAAAAAACAAUGCAACACAUUUUUACGCUACGCUUAUUCAAACUAAAUAACUAACUAACUUACUAAAGUAACCAACACCAAAAAAAACUACCUUAAAUCUAAGUCUUUCCUUACUAAACUAAUACAAAACCCCCUAAAUCAACCUAAUCCUAACACUACUCUAUAUCUAGCUAAAGCUAACCUACUCGCUAUUACGCUACUGACCACGACCAGCAUAUUCCCGGUUUCGCGAUGGCGCACGCUUCGGGCUUUCGGGUGUUGGGUCCAAGGUUAUUAGACUCUAUACAGGUUAUGUCAAAACACCGUUUUGAUACAUCUUCAAUAAAAAAAUGAAUAAAAAUUUUGACAGGCAAAUUGGAAAGUUUGUUUACCUACAAAUUGCAAUCUUUCCGAACAUACAGCUAUCGCAAUUGAUGAGUGCUUAGAUACUACAGUUUUUCUGCGUUUCAAUUUCCGUUUUUGUGCUUUUUUAGUUUACGGCUGGUUAAGUUUAUUUAAGGAAUUAGGUUUAUCUAAGCAAAGUAAUUCAUUAAAUAGCUACAAAUUACGAAACAAAGCAGUGAAAUAUGUCGUCCAAGUACAAGUGUUGUGUAGCAUCUUGUAAAAAUAAUAUAUAAUGUAAAGAAAGUUGGUGUCAAUUUAUGCUUCUGUAAGCUUUUAGUCGGAGCUUAUCUUUAUUAUUCACAAUAUAUUAAUAACGUAUAAAUUGAUCCGAAUCAGCGGACGGUUGCGAGAGAAGUGAACGAGUGAUCGGCGCAUCCGAUCGCUGCUUCCUCGUUCGUCCUGCACUAAACUGAUCUAAUAUCUGUCAACUCAACUUACUCUAUAUCACAUGGUGAUGUCCACUUAAGGUGGUGAAUAUGACAGCGACGUUGAGAUUGCGGCAUCUGAUGUGCAGAUGGCGCUGAUCACCACACUUCCAUAAAUUCCCAGAAGGGAAAGAUACCAAACAAAAAUGGAUAGCCUUUUGCCAAAGGGAAAUAUCGUGGAUACCUUCAUCAAGUAAUGUGGUGUGUUCGCAACAUUUCUUGCCAUCUGAUUACCAAUUGAGCAGCUCGCACAAUACCAAGUGUGGGGCUAAUUGGCUAAACCCUGAAGCUGUCCCAUCUAUCCUGUUACCACAAGGCACUGGUUUGAAUUUGUCGCAGUUUAAUGAACAUCAGCAGAAUAAUAACAAUGAUGAAUCUUCCCGGCCGGAACUGCAAGGUGCCACUUCAUCUAAUCUCUUGCCGGACGAACAUGAUUUAAGAUUGAUUGGAAAAGAGAACGUUUGCAAGAAAUGUAAGGGAUUAGAAAAAAAAAUAUUUAAUUUAGAAGCAAAACUUAGUGAAUUAGAAGAGCGCAACAAGCAACUGGUCACUAUAAAUAACAAAUUAAGUGAUACACUGAAGGAAGUAAAUGAAAAAGAAAAGGAACAUCUGAAAAAGAUAGAAGAACUUGAUAAAGCUACAAAAAAAAUUAAAGAAGAAUGGCCACGCGCUAAUUUUGUGCAGAACAUGAAAGAUUCGCUGAAGGGUUCGUUAUCAUCAAAUCAAAUUGAUCUUAUUUUAGGAAUUAAGAAGGCUGUUCGAUGGACAAAAGAAGAACUUUCCUUAGCAUUUACUCUUAGAUAUUUUAGUCAAAGGUCAUACCGUUACAUAGGCGAUGAUAUGAAGAUACCAGUACCGGUACCAAGAACUUUACAACGAUAUUCUUCCAAGAUUGAUCUAAAACAAGGCAUUCUGGAAGAUAUAUUGAAAUUCAUUGGAUCAUAUUCACAAACAUUGAGCCUGAUCGGGAACAAAAAUCGAUAAUGGAGUGGAUAAUUUAGUCGAUCAGUUAAACAAAUUCCAAUGUUAUCCAAUUGCGUUUUCUCAAUCAGAAUCUUCGCUAACCGAUCGGUUAGGAAGUGGAGUGGAAUGGUGUUUGUCGCCAUAGCAACGUGGUUAAAAAGUCGAGCAGUGGGAUAUGCAGUUGAAAACUCCAUACAAAAAAACCAUUUCAGUCGGAUAUACAUAGCUACUGCUCCACCCCAGUUGAUAUAACAGUGGAAAACUAAAUAAUAUGUAAAACCAUGUCUAACAGCCCGCUAAAAAGAUGUUUUAAUCGCUGUUUGAGUUGUUUGAGAUGCUUUAUCACUUGAAUUAGCUACAAUAUUUUUUUUUGAAAAUGUUAUUUUACCUGUUUUUUUAUAAACAAUCAAAACACAUAAAUUUAUGUUUAUAACAGGUAUCUAGUUUUUAUGGUUCAAGCCAAGAAAUAAGAAACCAACAAAAGAAAUCAUUUUCUGCUAAUGAUUCUCUUUUAUCCAACCUUAUGGUAUGGCCUUAUGGCAUGUUAGAAUCGGUUCCGACACAUAAAUGCAACGAGAUUGGGAAGACCAGUAGGAUCACUAGGUUCAAGAAAGUAUAAGCAACUCAUAUUUGUUGGAGCAGCGAGUUCCGGUCGGAAUCGCUUGCGUUGUUUUGCACCUAUCGAAGGUGUUGUGCCUACUUGUACCUUCCGGGCUAUCCCCAAAACCUCCGGGUCGCUUAUGGAUGGAUACAGCCCGGAAAUGUUCGGAUUGACUCACACAUCGCUAAAUUCCACGCCUCGUGACAAACGCGUCACUCAAUGAAUUUUUUUGUUCAAUCAUUUACACCAAUAUGUACACUUGAAUAGCUUCUCUACUAAAUCACAUGGUUUACAAUUUUAUCGUAGUUAUUUUAUUUUUAUCAAAUUUGACAAAAUCAUCAUCGUAUGUAUGGAAGCACAUUCAUUGUCGUAUCAAGCUCGCCAGGCUUCUGUUUUCAGAGUUAUACCCAUGUUAAAGGCAUGGAAACGAACGACC
Molecule: long non-coding RNA, 13831 nt
Organism: Anopheles gambiae (African malaria mosquito)
Lineage: Eukaryota; Metazoa; Arthropoda; Insecta; Diptera; Culicidae
Exons: 3
Source: RefSeq, a predicted model, not a curated record